This is a non-coding RNA of Coturnix japonica (Japanese quail), 986 nucleotides long. Lineage: Eukaryota; Metazoa; Chordata; Aves; Galliformes; Phasianidae. The record is from RefSeq and is a predicted model, not a curated record.
CUGCCCUUCCCCCUGUCCCGGAGCGCCUGGCCGGGUCUCGAGCCGAACCGUUGGUACCGCCUCAGUUUCUUCCCUCAUUCCAUCGCUCCUUUGUCUCCUUUCCUUUUCCACCGCCAGGAAAGCGGUGGUGAGAGCUGGAGAAGUCUUUUAUCUAAAGACUUGGUGUCUGGGGGCAACAAGAGCGCUCCUUUGUGUGGGCUUAUCUCGGGGUGCUGCACAUGACUCUUAUCAGGCACCCAGAAUGUCACAGAGGCAGGAAAAAGGAGGAUAAAAGAGGGAUCAGCAACCACGAAGUGAGUUUUUCUGACGUCAGAUUCCUCCCGACCUGACACCUUCAUGUUGGAGAAGAUGCGUGUGUGCUGAAGAACAAGGCAGGUAUCUGCCUUCAGAUCCAUCGCUGCUGCCAAUGGACUCUGCUGGGUCUGCUGCAUGAGACCCUGCUCCUAUAAAUUGCAGUGAGACAGAUGGACCCCUGAGCAACAGAAAGUAUUUCUGAGCAUCAGCAGCUUCUGUGCAGCAAAGAGAUGCCAUGAGAUGGGAGAGAGCACGAGCAGGGAGAUGGAGAUGACCUUUGUGUAUAGAGGUUGAUUGAUUUAGCCUGGGCCCCAAACUAAUCGUGCAAAUGCAGGAAAAUGAUAUUAAAUUCAUCAGUGCGAUUUGCUAGUCCUGGACUGAAGGCAGCUUUCCUGCGUUACCUUCAAGUCUUGUAAAUCCCCGUGCAACCAUCGGUGCAAAAAAAUACAGCUUCAAAUGGGCCGUAAUCAUCCUGCAGGAACCUCUGUGCUAAAAGCUCGUGUCAGGGCAUGGGGAUGCUGGCAGCAGUAGAUGUCUUCUGCUUUCCACUCUGGCGUGGCCUGCUGAUCCAGUUCAAGCACUCGUCUGUCUGGCUGAUGUGUGAAUAACAAGGGAUGCUCUGCCGUGGAAGAUGCACCGUGUGGUCAAAGAGCUGAAGAGUCUCCAUAGAGCCCCAUUUGUGAAUUCUGCGC